This 21-nucleotide unclassified non-coding RNA is filed under the name Chlamydomonas reinhardtii. RNAcentral's name for it is "small RNA Cre_3226". Lineage: Eukaryota; Viridiplantae; Chlorophyta; Chlorophyceae; Chlamydomonadales; Chlamydomonadaceae. The record is from RNAcentral.
UGGACGACGAGUGACUCUGCG